Molecule: ribosomal RNA, 253 nt
Filed under: uncultured bacterium
Lineage: Bacteria
Description: partial 16S ribosomal RNA
Rfam family: Bacterial small subunit ribosomal RNA
Source: RNAcentral
UACAGAGGUGGCAAGCGUUGUUCGGAAUUACUGGGCGUAAAGGGCGCGUAGGCGGCCUUCUAAGUCAGACGUGAAAUCCCCAGGCUUAACUUGGGAACUGCGUCUGAUACUGGGAGGCUUGAGUGCGGGAGAGGGAUGUGGAAUUCCAGGUGUAGCGGUGAAAUGCGUAGAUAUCUGGAGGAACACCGGUGGCGAAGGCGGUUCUCUGGGCCUGACCUGACGCUGAGGAGCGAAAGCGUGGGGAGCGAACAGG